RNAcentral lists this ribosomal RNA (1131 nucleotides) under Triticum aestivum (bread wheat). RNAcentral's name for it is "partial small subunit ribosomal RNA". The record is from RNAcentral. Lineage: Eukaryota; Viridiplantae; Streptophyta; Magnoliopsida; Poales; Poaceae.
AUGGCCGACGACCCCGCCUCCGCCGCGCCCUCCUCCGCCGACCAAGACGAGGAGGGCACCGAUAGCGACGCCUCCAACGACUCCCACCCACCCGCUGCCCAGGAGGCCCCGCCUCCACCCUUCCCCGACACCUCGGCCCCCGCCUUCCCCGAACCGGCCGGUCCAGUUCCGCCGCAGGGGGCGAGUGCCGCGGCGGCGGCGGAGGACUCGCGGCGGCUGUUCCAGCGGCUGUGGACGGACGAGGAGGAGCUGCUCAUCCUGCGCGGGUUCCUCGACUUCACGUCGCGCCGGGGCACCGCCUUCGCCUCCCACCAGUACGACACGGGGCCCUUCUACGAGGAGAUCCGCCGGAAGCUCUCCUUCGACUUCUCCAAGAACCAGCUCAUCGAGAAGCUGCGCCGCCUCAAGAAGAAGUACCGCGUCUGCGCCACCCGCAUGGCCGCGCAGGGCGCCGCCUUCGCCUUCAAGAGCGCGCACGAGGGCGCCAUCUACGACGUCGCGCGCCACAUCUGGCGCCCGGCCUUCAAGCGCGACGGCGCCGGGGGCGACGCCUCGGACGAGGACGACAUCAACCCCGCAGAAGCAGCGGCAGUCGCAGAGGGUGGUGGCGGAGGCGCGUCUGCGCACACCCCUCGGGGCAGGGGCUCGCGGCGUGGUGGAAGGAAGAGGAUGGCGCAGGAGAUUGAGGCGCCCACAUUCCCUGCAACGCCUGCUCCGAUGUUGACCGAUGCGGCUCAGGAGCAAGCUAUUGCGGCGUUCGAGAGUUCCGUGCCGGUGAUUGCACAGCCACCCUCAGUGCCGGCAGCGCCAUUGCCUCCUUAUCCGCUGACAGCCAAUGGCCCCACUGAAGCUGAUGUCCGGAGCAUCCUGUCACCGCUGCUGAAGGAGCUCAUCAGCUCGGUUGCUGUUCCAGGGCAGACCGGACUAGGAUUGGGCUUGGGCAUGGGAUUCGGGGGUGCUGAUAUUCUUGGCGUUGGUCUUGGGGUGGCCGGACUGAGCCCUCGGGUGCCCGGUGAUGAGAAGUGGAGGCAGCAGCAGAUUCUUGAGCUGGAGGUCUACCUCAAGAGGCUCGAGCUUGUCCGGGAGCAGGUCAUGACGGUGCUACAAGAACUCAGGUCAUCAGAAAGCUGA